AGCCAAUAGAUACCCGGGUAGUCCACGCCCUAAACGAUGUCUACUAGUUGUUGGUGGAGUAAAAUCCAUGAGUAAACGCAGCUAAACGCGUGAAGUAGACCGCCUGGGGAGUACGGUCGCAAGAUUAAGACUCAAAGGAAUUGACGGGGGCCCGCACAAGCGGUGGAUUAUGUGGAUUAAUUCGAUGCAACGCGAAAACCUUAACCUGGCCUUGACAUGCCACUAACGAAGCAGAGAUGCAUUAGGUGCCCGUAAGGGAAAGUGGACACAGGUGCUGCAUGGCUGUCGUCAGCUCGUGUCGUGAGAUGUUGGGUUAAGUCCCGCAACGAGCGCAACCCUUGCCAUUAAUUGCCAUCAUUUAGUUGGGCAC
RNAcentral lists this ribosomal RNA (370 nucleotides) under uncultured bacterium. RNAcentral describes it as "bacterial SSU rRNA". It matches the Rfam family "Bacterial small subunit ribosomal RNA", at positions 771 to 1138 of the family's 1533-position model. The record is from RNAcentral.